This 536-nucleotide non-coding RNA is filed under the name Pongo abelii (Sumatran orangutan). The record is from RNAcentral. Lineage: Eukaryota; Metazoa; Chordata; Mammalia; Primates; Hominidae.
CAGCUGGUAUAAAAAUGGUGCUUUGUAGUCAUGAAGAGGGUGUAUUCUGGGAUCAAACCACCUGGCUGGAGAUGCUUACUAACCUCAGUUUCUUCAUCUGACCUUUGCUUUCUAAAAGAAUAAUAAGAUGAUACAUAUUCCUCUAAAGUCUGAACAGGAAGCUUUUCCCCUCACUCCCUCCCCAGAGAUGGGUGUGUAUCAUUUCCAUGAGUGUCUGUACUUUUACAACAUGUGCAUAUUCAUAAACAAAAUGACAAAUUAUUUUGUCUUAAUAUUUGCAUACAUCUAACCAUACUCUACACUUUUGCAACUUUUACUAUUAUAUAUUUUGAAGAUUAUCCUGUUUAUGCACAUAAGUUUAUUCAUUUUAAUAGUUGAAUAGUGUUUCAUUAUAUGAAUUAACCAUAAUUCAUCUAUUUCCCUGACUGACAAUUAGGUUUCUUUUCCUUUUUAUGCUCUGACGAACAUUCUUGCAAUUAUUAUCUUUGUAUAUGUCUUCAGGUAUAAGAAAUUCUCCAGGGUAGACCCUUAGAAGU